ACAUCCUAUCUUCCCUCUUACAUGAUUGUCUUUGGUAGUUGCUUUGCUCUGUUCUUAUUUUCUCUUUUAUUGCUCCGUUCCUUCGAAGCCUCUUCUUGGUUUUGCUCUUCUUGAUACAGAUUGGUCAGGUGAGCUUUUUCUUUUACUGAACUAUCUCAUCUAUAAUGCUGUUUAUUCCAAUAUGUUUUUUUGGUCGAUCAUUCGUGGACUAACUCAGCUUUACUUACUUUGUUUAUGGGUGUUUUAUAUUUUGCCGUUGCAUUAAGGUAAGCCUAUUUUAAAUUUCCUGUCUUCUUUGAUUCUUUAUUCUACCUUUCAUUUAUCCAUUAUUUGUUCUUAUUUGUGUUCUGCCUUUUUCCCCUGUUUUCCCUUUACAUUUUGCAUGAGCUUUCUUCGUCUGUGGUUGCUGUAAGGAACUUUCUUUCUUUGUCACUAGACACUUGCAAAUUGGACUGUUCUGUGAGCCACCGAAUGUUUUGCUUCCACUCAAAAGAGUGACAAUAAUUGUGCUUUUUCUUCAAUGGUUGGGCCUAUUUUCCACCUUGCCUAACCUUUUAAACUAUACCUGCUUCUUUGACUUUGCCGUCGAUUUUCCUUCUUGUUCGUAUGGUGUUAGGAGCUGUUUUUCUUCUCAGAAGGUGAUGGGAUUUGGUGGAUGACGAGCUCAAGAAGGUAAGGGGCUAGUAAUCUUCUGUCUUGGUUACUCUUUCCAUUUUUCUCUUUUUUCUUCAUCUCCCUUUUCCCUCCUACCUCUCUCGAGUAAUAAUAGUUAGUUUCUUCUAUUUUUUUGCCUUUUUUUCCCUAAUCUUUUUUUUCCUUUGCUAAAAGCAACAAAUCAUUUUCUCCUCUCCUCUGCGUCUCUGUUUGUUAUGUUCUCAGAUAUUUUGCUAUUAAGAAAACUUCAUUUUUUUUGGGCUUUGUAAUCACUGAAUCUCCACUAUACUUAAUUUUCUGACAUGCUUCAUUUUUUCCCAUCUUUUAAGGAUUUAGCUUGCAUGUUUCAUCAAUAAAUAUUUUCAUCAUUUUAAUCUGGACUUGGAUAAUAGCUACAUUUUUUGUCCAUUUUUUCCUUUUGUUAGGUGGGAAAAGAUGAUGAAGAUUGGAGAUGAAUUGAUGAUG
Molecule: long non-coding RNA, 1119 nt
Filed under: Coffea arabica (coffee)
Lineage: Eukaryota; Viridiplantae; Streptophyta; Magnoliopsida; Gentianales; Rubiaceae
Description: long non-coding RNA (CARA_LNC004385)
Source: RNAcentral